Coturnix japonica (Japanese quail) is the source of this 1702-nucleotide non-coding RNA. The record is from RefSeq and is a predicted model, not a curated record. Lineage: Eukaryota; Metazoa; Chordata; Aves; Galliformes; Phasianidae.
GUCUCUUCUUUGGAGUGUUUGGUGAGCCCUGAUACUUGGAAAGGGGGCCAAAGAUGGAUCCUUGUCACCCUGGGUGGACCUGCAUGCCUGUGGAGCAAGAGAAAGCAUCGUUUAUCUUCAGUGUUUUUUGCAUGCACUGAUGCACCCUGGCAAACUGAAGACAGAUGUUCUGAUUUGCCCAUCCUCCAGGUCAACUUUGCUUUGUACAGCCAGAGUAUUGUCAUAUCUAACAUACCUGAAUCUCCUGGAUCUCGCCUAAUUCUUGUCCAAGCAGCUCCAGUAUCUCUGCACAGAACUCCCCAGAGCUCUACACUACUUAUUUGUAUCUCUUACAAUGAAGAGUUAACACACAAAUUUCUCAUAAGACUAAUGUUACUGUGAGACUGCGAGCUGGCUGACUCUGUUUAAAAGAAAGAAACAAAUAGAACAGUAAAAGAUUUUAUACUGUCUUUACUACUUUAAUGUAGCAGGAAUGUUAAUGAAUAGGAAAACAUAUCUCAAAUUCAAAGGCACUUACUGCUACAAUAUGGUCAAUGCUAUUAUCAUUUGCAGUGCUUCUAUCUAGAAUGUGCUUGACAUGAUACAACAGGAGGGAUGUAAAUAUUUUCAAAACUCAUAAAACUCUGUCCCUGCAGUGUUCUGAGGAGGGCAAGGUGCCCUGCCACCAGGGUACAGGUAUCCUUUGAUGGAUGGAGUUAGGAACCUCAUCAGAGUCAGAAUAUGUACCAUGAAGCAGAGAUUUCAUCCCAGACUAGUACACCAAAGUCUGUCAGAAGUCAUACUGGAAGAAUGAUAGUUGUUUUUAGUAUGGUUUUUUUUCUUAUCUUAAUAGUAUUCUGAACCCAGUUGGUUAAGGGGAAAAUAAUUGCAUUUUCCUAAUAAGUCCAAGAUUUUGAUGUUGACACCUGUGGCUUCAGGAAGUUCCUCACGCUGAUUUCACCCUUGGAGGUUCCAGACUUUCUCUUUUAUUUCAAAAGGUACAUUUUUAAACCUGUUGUAAAGAACUUAAGGACAGUAGCAUGGAGCAAGAGCCUGAAGGAUGAAAAGCCCACAAAUGAGUUGAAUCCAUGAUCCUGAGAUUAAGGUCUGAUCUGGAAGCAAAUUAUCACAGCUGGGAAGACUUUUGUCUGCCAUAUUUAUGAAGGAGAAAGGAAAGAGAAACAUCUGAUCAGAAGACAGUCAUUCAAGUUGGCCAUUCCUGGUUGUAUCUAUUCUCCUUCCUUGAGCAAGUGUUGUACAGCCCACCUCAUUUGGCUCUUUAUUCCCUGAUGUCUGUUACCUCUGCUCCAGUAUAGAUAACCCAAACCACAGCAUUGCUCAACUAGGAACAGUCCUGAAGGAAGAGCUAGUCCAUGCAGAGGAGCUGUUCAUGCCUUCUGUUGGAUGUGUUCCCAGAUGAACUGAGCUGGAAGGCCUAAUUUAUCUGGAUUUUGAGGAAUCACACCCAUCAGAGGAAGUCAUAUUUUGAAACUGAAUUGUUAUGAUCACCCUUUCAGCUCUAGUAAGCAUUCCAGUAGAUAACUAAGUGAGUCAAGGACUUAAGAUAGACCACAGAAGAUGAUGGAAGUGCUGGGACUGAUGUUUUCUGCUCUGUGUGUGAGGAUCUGUAUCUUUGCAAGUGACUUUCAAAAAUGUUGAUUUGUUAGCUACUUGCCAUAUCAGUGGAAGAGGAAAAAACACACUGUAAUGACAAAGGUUUGUG